This 590-nucleotide ribosomal RNA is filed under the name uncultured bacterium. RNAcentral's name for it is "bacterial SSU rRNA". It matches the Rfam family "Bacterial small subunit ribosomal RNA", at positions 335 to 916 of the family's 1533-position model. The record is from RNAcentral.
ACUCCUACGGGAGGCAGCAGUGGGGAAUUUUGGACAAUGGGCGAAAGCCUGAUCCAGCCAUUCCGCGUGAGUGAAGAAGGCCUUCGGGUUGUAAAGCUCUUUCGCAAGGGAAGAAACCUUAUAUUCUAAUAAAGUAUGAGGAUGACGGUACCUUGAUAAGAAGCACCGGCUAACUACGUGCCAGCAGCCGCGGUAAUACGUAGGGUGCGAGCGUUAAUCGGAAUUACUGGGCGUAAAGCGUGCGCAGGCGGUUUUGAAAGUCAGAUGUGAAAUCCCCGAGCUCAACUUGGGAACUGCGUUUGAAACUCCAAAGCUAGAGUAUAGGAGAGGGGGGUAGAAUUCCACGUGUAGCAGUGAAAUGCGUAGAGAUGUGGAGGAAUACCAAUGGCGAAGGCAGCCCCCUGGCCUAAUACUGACGCUCAUGCACGAAAGCGUGGGGAGCAAACAGGAUUAGAUACCCUGGUAGUCCACGCCCUAAACGAUGUCUACUAGUUGUUGGUGGAGUAAAAUCCAUUAGUAACGCAGCUAACGCGUGAAGUAGACCGCCUGGGGAGUACGGUCGCAAGAUUAAAACUGAAAGGAAUUGACGG